CCUACGGGAGGCACCAGUGGGGAAUAUCGCACAAUGGGCGCAAGCCUAAUGCAGCCAUGCCGCGUGUGUGAAGAAGGCCCUCGGGUUGUAAAGCACUUUCAGCGGGGAGGAAGGCGCCAAGGUUAAUAACCUUGGCGAUUGACGUUACCCGCAGAAGAAGCACCGGCUAACUCCGUGCCAGCAGCCGCGGUAGUACGGAGGGUGCAAGCGUUAAUCGGAAUUACUGGGCGUAAAGCGCACGCAGGCGGUCUGUCAAGUCGGAUGUGAAAUCCCCGGGCUCAACCUGGGAACUGCAUUCGAAACUGGCAGGCUAGAGUCUUGUAGAGGGGGGUAGAAUUCCAGGUGUAGCGGUGAAAUGCGUAGAGAUCUGGAGGAAUACUGGUGGCGAAGGCGGCCCCCUGGACAAAGACUGACGCUCAGGUGCGAAAGCGUGGGGAGCAAACAGGAUUAGAUACCCCUGUAGUC
This 465-nucleotide ribosomal RNA is filed under the name uncultured bacterium. RNAcentral's name for it is "bacterial SSU rRNA". It matches the Rfam family "Bacterial small subunit ribosomal RNA", at positions 338 to 795 of the family's 1533-position model. The record is from RNAcentral.